GGUACUAGGUUUUUAAUGUGGUAUCUAGCCUGCCCAGUGAUUUUUAACGGCCGCGGUAUUUUGACUGUGCAAAGGUAGCAUAAUCAAUUGUCUUUUAAUUGUAGACUAGAAUGAAGGGUUGAACUUAGCAAAGCUGUCUUAAUAUUUUAUGAACUUACACACUAAGUAAAAAUGCUUGGGUGUGUCAAUGGGACGAGAAGACCCUAUUAAGCUUUAUAUAGCUUGAAUUUUUAACUGCGUCUGAUGAAGUUUAUAGUAUAUUUUGCUGGGGCGGCAAUUUAUUAUAAAACGUAAAUAAUAUAAAGCAUUUAGAUCCAUAGGUUAUGAUUAUUAGAGUAAGUUACUGUAGGGAUAACAGCGUAAUAUGCUCUGAGAGUUCUUAUUGAUGGGUAUGUUUGCGACCUCGAUGUUGAUUUAAAAUUCCUUUGUAGAGCAAAUUAUUCACAAGGUGGUUUGUUCAACCAUUAAAUUUUUAUA
Molecule: ribosomal RNA, 477 nt
Filed under: Cryptops australis
Lineage: Eukaryota; Metazoa; Arthropoda; Chilopoda; Scolopendromorpha; Cryptopidae
Description: partial 16S ribosomal RNA
Rfam family: Bacterial large subunit ribosomal RNA
Source: RNAcentral